This 1433-nucleotide ribosomal RNA is filed under the name metagenome. RNAcentral describes it as "bacterial SSU rRNA". It matches the Rfam family "Archaeal small subunit ribosomal RNA". The record is from RNAcentral.
GUUGAUCCUGCGGGAGGUCGCUACUAUUAGGGUUCGACUAAGCCAUGCAAGUCAGAGGGGCUCUUCGGAGUCACAGGCAAAAUGCUCAGUAACACGUCGUUAAUCUAGCCUUAGAUCUGGAAUAACCUUGGAAAACUGAGGCUAAAACCGGAUAUGGGAAAAUAAUUGGAAAAUGUUUUCCUUUAAAAGCGAUGUCUAAGGAUGAGACGGCGGCGGAUUAGGUUGUUGGCGGGGUAAUGGCCCACCAAGCCGACGAUCCGUAGGGGCCGUGAGAGCGGUAGCCCCGAGAAGGACACUGAGAUACUGGUCCUAGCCCUACGGGGUGCAGCAGGCGCGAAACCUUUACAAUGCACGAAAGUGUGAUAAGGGAACCCUAAGUGCUCAUGUUUUACAUGGGCUUUUGCCAAGUAUAAAUAUCUUGGCGAAUAAGUGGUGGGAAAGACUGGUGCCAGCAGCCGCGGUAACACCAGCGCCACAAGUAGGGACCACUACUAUUGGGCCUAAAGCGUCCGUAGCCGGCUGAAUAAAUUUCUUGUGAAAUUGUUGGGCUUAACCUAACAACGUGCAGGAAAAACUGUUCAGCUUGGAACCGGGAGAAGUCAGGAGUAUGCUGGGGGGAGCGGUAAAAUGUUAUAAUCCCCGGUAGACUACCAGUGGCGAAGGCGCCUGACUAGAACGGAUUCGACGGUGAGGGACGAAAGCCAGGGGAGCGAAGCGGAUUAGAUACCCGUGUAGUCCUGGCCGUAAACGCUGCGAGCUAGGUGUUGCAUAUUCUACAUGAAUAUGCAGUAUCGAAGCGAAGGUGAUAUGCUCGCCGCCUGGGAAGUAUGGUCGCAAGGCUGAAACUUAAAGGAAUUGGCGGGGGAGCACUACAAGGGGUGCGGCGUGCGGUUUAAUCUAAUUCAACGCAGAGAAUCUCACCAGAAGCGACGGCAGGAUGAAAGUCAGGCUAAAGGUCUUACUUGACGAGCCGAGAGGUGGUGCAUGGCCGCCGUCAGCUCGUGCUGUAAAGUGUCCUGUUAAGUCAGGCAACGAGCGAGACCUGCAUCUACAAUUGCUAACGGAUUCUUUAGAAUGACUGAGCACAUUGUGGAGACUGCCCUGGAAACAGGGAGGAAGGUGCAGGCUACGGUAGGUCUGUAUGCUCCGAAUCUUCUGGGCUACACGCGCGCAACAAUGGUAAGGACAAUGGGAUGCGACUCCGAAAGGAGGAGCUAAUCCUCGAAACCUUAUCCAAGUCUAGAUUGAGGAUUGUAACUCAUCCUCACGACAAUGGAAUCCCUAGUAAUCAGAGUUUAUCAUACUCCGGUGAACAUGUCCCUGCUCCUUGCACACACCGCCCGUCAAGCCACCCGAGUAGGGUUUAGGUGAGAGGUAAAUUUUAUUUGCAUCGAACCUAAGCUCAGCGAGGAGGGCUAAGUCGUCACAAGGUA